UACGUAGGAGACGAGCGUUGUCCGGAGUUACUGGGCGUAAAGGGUGCGCAGGUGGCGGCGCGCGUGGGGGGUGAAAUCGCCCGGCUUAACCUGGGAACUGCGUUUCUAACUGGCAGGCUUGAGUGCGGCAGAGGAGACUGGAAUUCCUGGUGUAGCAGUGAAAUGCGUAGAUAUCAGGAGGAACACCGAUGGCGAAGGCAGGUCUCUGGGCUGACACUGACGCUCAUGCACGAAAGCGUGGGGAGCAAACAGG
This 253-nucleotide ribosomal RNA is filed under the name uncultured bacterium. RNAcentral's name for it is "partial 16S ribosomal RNA". It matches the Rfam family "Bacterial small subunit ribosomal RNA", at positions 524 to 776 of the family's 1533-position model. The record is from RNAcentral.